RNAcentral lists this ribosomal RNA (293 nucleotides) under uncultured prokaryote. RNAcentral's name for it is "partial 16S ribosomal RNA". It matches the Rfam family "Archaeal small subunit ribosomal RNA", at positions 455 to 747 of the family's 1478-position model. The record is from RNAcentral.
GUGCCAGCAGCCGCGGUAAUACCGGCAGCUCGAGUGAUGACCGAUUUUAUUGGGCCUAAAGCGUCCGUAGCUGGCCGCGCAAGUCUGUCGGGAAAUCCACCCGCUUAACGGGUGGGCGUCCGGCGGAAACUGUGCGGCUUGGGACAGGAAGGCUCGAGGGGUACGUUCGGGGUAGGAGUGAAAUCCCGUAAUCCUGAACGGACCACCGAUGGCGAAAGCACCUCGCGAGAACGGAUCCGACAGUGAGGGACGAAAGCCAGGGUCUCGAACCGGAUUAGAAACCCUGGUAGUCC